Molecule: long non-coding RNA, 2638 nt
Organism: Danio aesculapii
Lineage: Eukaryota; Metazoa; Chordata; Actinopteri; Cypriniformes; Danionidae
Exons: 3
Source: RefSeq, a predicted model, not a curated record
CAUUGGGUGAUGUCCACCAUGGUUUACCCUCGUGGCGAGGCUCUAGAGUGGAUGAUGCAGGAUGAUAUUGUGCUGAAUAAAACACUAAAGCGGUGAUACAGUGUUUGGAGACACUGCGAGGGGAACAUGCUCAACUCCUUUAACACCAUUCUGGACUGCAGUCAACCAGCCGGAGUGCAGGAGAAGUCCAGACUGCUGUUGGAGGACCUGGAGGACAUUGAGCUGGACCUGGAAGAAGCACAGGUGAAACAGGAAGGUAGGAGAAAUUCAGACUGCUGCUGGAGAACCUGGAGGACAUUGAGCUGGGCCUGGGGGAAGCACAGGUGAUCAUAGGCGUGUUGGGAGAACCAGUUGCUGCGGUAAAAGUUGGACAACACCCAACACAAAUUGUAGAAGAGCAAACAGCAUCACGCAGCUGGAGGAGGAGAAGCACCUGGAGUUUAUGAACCAGAUUGCGCUCAUUUAUCAGGCGGAACAUCAGUUUCUAAACCAUCUGGACGAAACCUUCAUCCGCUCACUGUGUGUCAGUCUUGGGUUGACAUUGCUGAUUCAGAUCAAUGGGUUCAGCUGGAGCCGUCAGUCUGUAGAGAUGGAGGUUCAGAGUUCAAGAUCAGGACUCUGAAGGGUCAAUUCUAGAGCAGCAGGACCAGACUCCGAUGAGUCCGAUGGAGAUGUCACUCUCCACUACCGGGCAGUGGAUGGAAAUUUUCUCAACGCAGAGCUGGAGAGGCCGUCAAGCUCCUCAGAUAUAUCUUUCCAAUCUGUAGAGCUCAUGCGUUAUCAUGCCUCUAUAUGUGCUGUCAAGUAAAAUGACAUCCAAGCUCACAUUAUUAGUAGUUAACAGUGAUUAAAGCACAUGAGCUGUGCCUGAGGUGAUCAUUUACAUAGUUUACCCUGUUUUUCAGCUGUAAGAACUAGAAGCGGCUUCUAAAAUAGAAAUUUCAGGUUGGUCAGGACAAAAACUCACGCCUGUUAAUGUGGGGAUGUCGUCAAUCUUGCAACCUAUACCUAGUUAAACCACUGGGUGUCAAACUUGCGUACUGUGUAAAGGUGCUGGUCAUAUAGUUAGAAUAUCUUUAUGAAGUUGAUCUAUUUCACUAAUUCCAUUCAAGAAGUGAGACUUGUAUGUCUGUGGCACUGCUCAGAUGUUACGAGAGCCCAGGUUGUUCUGACAGUGGCCUUUAGCAUUGUUGGGUCUGGCAUUUUGCAUCUUCCUUUUCGCACAGUUUGAAACAUUUAACUUUAGCGUUUAAUUGAUUAAAAUAAAAAUGAGAAAUGUCUUAUUUAUAAUAUCUUCUCUGUUUUAUUUACAUUAUACUGUUUCCAUCACAGACUUUUGAAGAUGUUUGAAGGUAAUCAGGCAAAACCGUAUCACUGUCCCACAUAAGUAAUCAUAAAAAGCAUUUCAAGUAGUUAUCUUGCACAUUGUGAAUGAUUUUCUGCUACUUAACAGGUUGAGUUCAAGUGCAUCAAAUGAGAGCUGAUUUAAAAGGGAGUGGAACAUGUAAUACUAGAGAGUUAAUGUGAAAAGUCGUUAAGCGAUUUCGGUGGAAGUAACAAACUGCUAGCGUUAAAUGUUUCUAUCAGUUCUAUAUCUUAUAAAUGUAAAUUGUCACUCUUUGAAACACUAGCUCAGGGGUUCCCAAACUUUUCAGCCCACGGCCACUAAAAUGCCACUGACUCACGACCCCUACUAUUUUUCAGAGGUGGUUAAAACAUAAAUGUUAAAUGCAAGGGCUCAUGCACACACACACACACACACACACACACACACACCUAUAUGCCUAUAAACGAUCAUAUUCACAACACAAACAAGUGUAAUCUAACAACUAUAUAAUUGUUAAUAGUCAUUUAUUCCAUUUAAUAUGAACCUCACCUAAUGAGACUGUCAGCACAUCGUUUGCAGCACAAGUCUAUUCUUGUUUAAUUUUUGAGACCACCAUUUUGAGAUCAUUCUCCAUCAGGGUUUCCGCAGGGUCUUAAAGUCUAAAUUCUAAAAUUUAAAAAUCGAAAUUUUAGGGCUUAAAAAGUCUUUAUUUUGCUGCUCUAGGUCUUGAAUAUGUCAUGAUUUCAGCUAGUGGAGCACAACAUUUUUAAGACUCGAACGAACCAUUUACGCGGCAUCACGUUUCAUUUAAGAUAAUUAUGAAUCACUUUGAAAAGAUUUUGUCUGAAACAUGUACGACUGUACAUACACCUUUUAUCUAAAACUAGAUCAACAAUAAUUCUUAGCUAGAGAUUGCAACCGCAGUGGGAAAGGAGGAACGUUUUUGUUAAAAAGUUUGGAAAAACCUGAGGGAUACGUUUGUUAAAACAAAAAGAGAUCAUGGCAAAAAUGACCCAGGUACACAAUCACAGAAUGUUUUUCCACCAUUUAUAGGUUUUAAAAUGUAAUAGUUACAAAACUAUAAUUAAGGAACAAAUUAUUUCUUUGAUAACUGGAAAAGAAUAUUUGAAUUUCUCGGUUUACAAUAUUCUAAUGCCCUGUUUUUCUAGGCUUUAUUGAUGAUAAUCGUCAGGAAUGUUUGGAUCAUUAUUGCCUUUUUAGCAUAUCAGUAGACGACAGAAACUAACCAGCGUGAACUGUAGAGAGGGCAAAAUAAAAUAAAGUCAGGAUUUUUUUAGUAAGUACUUUUUU